Eucalyptus grandis is the source of this 1979-nucleotide long non-coding RNA. RefSeq lists it as uncharacterized. NCBI's taxonomy places the organism in Eukaryota, Viridiplantae, Streptophyta, Magnoliopsida, Myrtales, Myrtaceae. The record is from RefSeq and is a predicted model, not a curated record. The transcript has 2 exons.
GUGUAAGGAAAAAUAAUGAAAUAAUCUUAAAUCAAUCUUGAAUUCUAAUUGAUUUGAACCAAUCUUGUCCCAAAUCUUCGACCAAUUUCAUCCAAAAGCCAAAUUAGGAAACUAGGUGGCCACUCAUGCAAUUUAGUCUAAACCACGGGAUCGAAAUUGCAAUAAUUUUGUGAUUCUACGCUAAAGUUUGAAAAAUUAUUUUUUACGCCUUUUCAUUCUGUCUCCGAAUCAAUUUCUUCUUCUUGGGUCGCGCUCUUCAAUUCUCUCUCAAUCUGAGCGCUCGCGAGGGAGAGCAGCCUGACGACGAGUUUGUCCGGCGUCUUGCCGGAACACUACCGUCGCACGUCAAGGUGGCAAUUGGCGAGUUGGUUCAGCUCUUGAGACUCCGAUUCUCGCAAGCAGGCGUCUCGCCAGAGUGGCCAUUGACGAGAGCUCCACACCGUUUGCUCCUUCUUCCCCAUCACGGGGAACGUCAGAAGCAGCCAAUGGAAGGCAGCAUCUUUUCCGAUGCAGAUCUUCGAUUUAGAUCUGGCUUCAAAAGACCGGUCCUCAUGUGCGGGGUUUAGCACUCCUGGAGCCUCCGGAGGUCAAGCAACGGCAGAGUUCCACAGAGAUUCACUCGAUGGAAAAUCAGUUGACCGAGUAGCCGGGUAUCCCUCGGUGUCCGGAUCUCUCGGUAUUGUUUCUAAAAUCAAGUGGAUUGGUUUGUCUAGCCCAUUCUUUUUAUUUCUUUUUGGACCCAAUCCUUUUCUUUUCCCUCAAACCCACCCCAUUCCCUUCAUUUGAAUUUUUUCAUUAUUGACCCACCCGAAGCAGCAGGGGCGUGGCCACUUUGCGGUUUCUUCUCUGCCUUUCGCACGCUCUCGCUGUGAGCGUAAGGAAGCGACCGGGACGCAAUGAGAUAGAAAAAAGAGAGAGAUCGAGGGUGAAUUUCUUUCCAUUCGCCGGUGGUUCGGCUGAAUCACCCUCGACCAUCUGAGGAAGCCAACUCGCCUGUCGUCGUUGGUCACGGCAAGCUCUUGAACCAGGUAGGCCUCAAGAAUGCCCUGCUUCUUUCUAGCAUAUAAUUCAUGUUUUGGGCGAAUCGUGUGAUGCUGGAGCCGAUUUGUGGCGUAUGAUGAUGAUUUGGAGUGUGAUAUAUCAUUGCCAAGUUGAGAAUUGCUCUGGAACCUAGCGUAGAAUUCAUGUUUUAAGUCGCACGUCACAUGUCCGAUAAGAUGCCUAGGUGAGAUUCCGAAGUGGAUUUUCUGUGAUUCGCUCCGAUUUUGGUUUAUGCUCACUUCAUUGAUCAACCGAAUAGAAGGUAAUGCUGCGUUUUCCUUUGUUUUUAUGGCAUAUUCACGUUACUGAGUGGGCCAUGGACGAACGCCUCCUCGCCAGAAAAUCUAUUCCACGCCGGUGAAGCCGGCGGUUAGUGGCCGCCAUUGUCAGUCAAUCCUUCUUGGUUUAAUAUGCAUUUGAGUGAUCUCUAUGCUAGUUUUAUUAGAUUUUUGUGAUACAUAUCUUUAUAGUGUGAAAAUCCCAUUGCCGGAGCUAGUUAGUAAUCACCGGCCAAUUAGUGUUCGAAGCCGGUCGGUGUGGAUGGGGAUUUUGAAGGUGCAGAAAAAGAAUAAUAAUAAAAAAAAAUGCAAGAAAUUUUUUAAAAAUAAAAAUAAAAGAUAAACAAUAAAAAUUCAGUUAUAAUAUAAAAGGGGUCAAACCAGGCCAAUGGGUCGGAUCUAGUUGGCCAGGUUGGAGAUCGCGGGCUAGUGAUUGGGCCAAGUAUAAUAAAAAAGAGAUAAAUCGGAGGCCGCAGGCUUAGAGGCGAAUGGGCCCAUUUGAUAUGUUUGGGCUGGUCAUUAGGGCCAGCCUGAAUUCAAACUCUACCUGGACCAUUAGGGUAUGGGUCGGACACUUAUCCGAACCGGGUUCUCGACCCAGCCCAUAGUCCUUUUUCUCAGAUUAAAGAAUAUUUUAAAAAAUAAUAGAAAAUCAAAAAA